CGGGAUGUGGCUCAGCUUGGUAGAGCACCACGUUCGGGACGUGGGGGUCGCAGGUUCAAAUCCUGUCAUCCCGACCA
Molecule: transfer RNA, 77 nt
Filed under: Tepidibacillus decaturensis
Lineage: Bacteria; Bacillati; Bacillota; Bacilli; Caryophanales; Bacillaceae
Also listed under: 3 other names
Description: tRNA-Pro
Rfam family: tRNA
About the family: Transfer RNA (tRNA) molecules are approximately 80 nucleotides in length.
Source: RNAcentral